RNAcentral lists this ribosomal RNA (901 nucleotides) under Phomopsis sp. RNAcentral's name for it is "SSU rRNA". It matches the Rfam family "Eukaryotic small subunit ribosomal RNA", at positions 167 to 1078 of the family's 1831-position model. Lineage: Eukaryota; Fungi; Ascomycota; Sordariomycetes; Diaporthales; Diaporthaceae. The record is from RNAcentral.
AUACAUGCUUAAAACCCCGACUUCGGAAGGGGUGUAUUUAUUAGAUUAAAAACCAAUGCCCUUCGGGGCUCACUGGUGAUUCAUAAUAACUUCUCGAAUCGCAUGGCCUUGUGCCGGCGAUGGUUCAUUCAAAUUUCUGCCCUAUCAACUUUCGACGGCUGGGUCUUGGCCAGCCGUGGUUACAACGGGUAACGGAGGGUUAGGGCUUGACCCCGGAGAAGGAGCCUGAGAAACGGCUACUACAUCCAAGGAAGGCAGCAGGCGCGCAAAUUACCCAAUCCCGACUCGGGGAGGUAGUGACAAUAAAUACUGAUACAGGGCUCUUUUGGGUCUUGUAAUUGGAAUGAGUACAAUUUAAAUCCCUUAACGAGGAACAAUUGGAGGGCAAGUCUGGUGCCAGCAGCCGCGGUAAUUCCAGCUCCAAUAGCGUAUAUUAAAGUUGUUGCAGUUAAAAAGCUCGUAGUUGAACCUUGGGCCUGGCUGGCCGGUCUGCCUCACCGCAUGCACUGGUCCGGCCGGGCCUUUCCCUCUGGGGAUCCGCAUGCCCUUCACUGGGUGUGUCGGGGAACCAGGACUUUUACUGUGAAAAAAUUAGAGUGUUCAAAGCAGGCAUAUGCUCGAAUACAUUAGCAUGGAAUAAUAGAAUAGGACGUCGCGGUUCUAUUUUGUUGGUUUAUAGGACCGCCGUAAUGAUUAAUAGGGACAGUCGGGGGCAUCAGUAUUCAAUUGUCAGAGGUGAAAUUCUUGGAUAGAUUGAAGACUAACUACUAAGAAAGCAUUUGCCAAGGAUGUUUUCAUUAAUCAGGAACGAAAGUUAGGGGAUCGAAAAGGAUCAGAUACCGUUGUAGUAUUAACCAUAAACUAUGCGGAUUAGGGAUCGGGCGGUGUUAUUAUUGACCCG